This 253-nucleotide ribosomal RNA is filed under the name uncultured bacterium. Its description in RNAcentral is "partial 16S ribosomal RNA". It matches the Rfam family "Bacterial small subunit ribosomal RNA", at positions 524 to 776 of the family's 1533-position model. The record is from RNAcentral.
UACGUAGGGGGCAAGCGUUAUCCGGAUUUACUGGGUGUAAAGGGAGCGUAGACGGCAGUGCAAGUCUGGAGUGAAAGGCGGGGGCUCAACCCCCGGACUGCCCUGGAAACUGUACGGCUGGAGUGCAGGAGAGGUAAGUGGAAUUCCUAGUGUAGCGGUGAAAUGCGUAGAUAUUAGGAGGAACACCAGUGGCGAAGGCGGCUUACUGGACUGUAACUGACGUUGAGGCUCGAAAGCGUGGGGAGCAAACAGG